AUUGAACGCUGGCGGCAGGCCUAACACAUGCAAGUCGAACGGUAACAGGAAGCAGCUUGCUGCUUCGCUGACGAGUGGCGGACGGGUGAGUAAUGUCUGGGAAGCUGCCUGAUGGAGGGGGAUAACUACUGGAAACGGUAGCUAAUACCGCAUAAUGUCGCAAGACCAAAGAGGGGGACCUUCGGGCCUCUUGCCAUCGGAUGUGCCCAGAUGGGAUUAGCUUGUUGGUGGGGUAACGGCUCACCAAGGCGACGAUCCCUAGCUGGUCUGAGAGGAUGACCAGCCACACUGGAACUGAGACACGGUCCAGACUCCUACAGUCGGCCGCAGUGGGGAAUAUUGCACGAGGGGGGCAAGCCUGAUGCAGCCAUGCCGCGUGUAUGCAGAAGGCCUUCGGGUUGUAAAGUACUUUCAGCGGGGAGGAAGGGAGUAAAGUUAAUACCUUUGCUCAUUGACGUUACCCGCAGAAGAAGCACCGGCUAACUCCGUG
Molecule: ribosomal RNA, 490 nt
Filed under: uncultured bacterium
Lineage: Bacteria
Description: partial 16S ribosomal RNA
Rfam family: Bacterial small subunit ribosomal RNA
Source: RNAcentral